Molecule: ribosomal RNA, 401 nt
Filed under: uncultured bacterium
Lineage: Bacteria
Description: bacterial SSU rRNA
Rfam family: Bacterial small subunit ribosomal RNA
Source: RNAcentral
CUACCCUUGACAUGCCAGGAACUUUCCAGAGAUGGAUUGGUGCCCGAAAGGGAGCCUGGACACAGGUGCUGCAUGGCUGUCGUCAGCUCGUGUCGUGAGAUGUUGGGUUAAGUCCCGCAACGAGCGCAACCCUUGUCAUUAAUUGCCAUCAUUUAGUUGGGCACUUUAAUGAGACUGCCGGUGACAAACCGGAGGAAGGUGGGGAUGACGUCAAGUCCUCAUGGCCCUUAUGGGUAGGGCUUCACACGUCAUACAAUGGUCGGUACAGAGGGUUGCCAAGCCGCGAGGUGGAGCCAAUCCCAGAAAGCCGAUCGUAGUCCGGAUCGCAGUCUGCAACUCGACUGCGUGAAGUCGGAAUCGCUAGUAAUCGCGGAUCAACAUGUCGCGGUGAAUACGUUCCC